RNAcentral lists this ribosomal RNA (508 nucleotides) under uncultured bacterium. RNAcentral's name for it is "partial 16S ribosomal RNA". It matches the Rfam family "Bacterial small subunit ribosomal RNA", at positions 28 to 523 of the family's 1533-position model. The record is from RNAcentral.
GAUGAACGCUAGCUACAGGCUUAACACAUGCAAGUCGAGGGGAAACGAUAUUGGAAGCUUGCUUCCGAUAGGCGUCGACCGGCGCACGGGUGAGUAACGCGUAUCCAACCUGCCCACUACUUGGGGAUAACCUUGCGAAAGUAAGACUAAUACCCAAUGACGUCCAUAGAAGACAUCUGAAAUGGAUUAAAGAUUCAUCGGUGAUGGAUGGGGAUGCGUCUGAUUAGCUUGUUGGUGGGGUAACGGCCCACCAAGGCGACGAUCAGUAGGGGUUCUGAGAGGAAGGUCCCCCACAUUGGAACUGAGACACGGUCCAAACUCCUACGGGAGGCAGCAGUGAGGAAUAUUGGUCAAUGGGCGAGAGCCUGAACCAGCCAAGUAGCGUGCAGGAUGACGGCCCUAUGGGUUGUAAACUGCUUUUAUAAGGGAAUAAAGUGAGCCUCGUGAGGCUUUUUGCAUGUACCUUAUGAAUAAGGACCGGCUAAUUCCGUGCCAGCAGCCGCAGUAA